Molecule: ribosomal RNA, 312 nt
Filed under: uncultured bacterium
Lineage: Bacteria
Description: bacterial SSU rRNA
Rfam family: Bacterial small subunit ribosomal RNA
Source: RNAcentral
AACGAACGCUGGCGGCAUGCCUCAUACAUGCAAGUCGAACGAGAAAGUCCCUUCGGGGGCGAUUAAAGUGGCGCACGGGUGAGUAACACGUAGGUGACCUACCCUUUAGUCGGGACAACUCGAGGAAACUCGGGCUAAUACCGGAUGUGAUGGAAGACUUUGGAAGUAUUUCAUGAAAGAUGGCCUCGGCCAUCGCUAGAGGAAGGGCCUGCGGCCAAUUAGCUUGAUGGUGGGGUAAUGGCCUACCAUGGCGAUGAUUGGUAACCGGUCUGAGAGGACGAUCGGUCACACUGGAACUGAGACACGGUCCAG